RNAcentral lists this ribosomal RNA (301 nucleotides) under uncultured bacterium. Its description in RNAcentral is "partial 16S ribosomal RNA". It matches the Rfam family "Bacterial small subunit ribosomal RNA", at positions 509 to 807 of the family's 1533-position model. The record is from RNAcentral.
CAGUAGCCGCGGUAAUACGUAGGUGGCAAGCGUUGUCCGGAAUUAUUGGGCGUAAAGCGUGCGCAGGCGGUUGUGUAAGACAGGUGUGAAAUCCCCGGGCUUAACCUGGGAACUGCGCUUGUGACUGCACAGCUAGAGUAUGGCAGAGGGGGGUGGAAUUCCACGUGUAGCAGUGAAAUGCGUAGAGAUGUGGAGGAACACCGAUGGCGAAGGCAGCCCCCUGGGCCAAUACUGACGCUCACGCACGAAAGCGUGGGGAGCAAACAGGAUUAGAUACCCGCGUAGUCCCUGUCUCUUAUAC